Small nucleolar RNA from Tripterygium wilfordii, 135 nucleotides. RefSeq annotates it as small nucleolar RNA snoR127. Lineage: Eukaryota; Viridiplantae; Streptophyta; Magnoliopsida; Celastrales; Celastraceae. The transcript has a single exon. The record is from RefSeq and is a predicted model, not a curated record.
AUGGAAUGAUGCAACUUAGCCAAAGCAUACAUGAUGUGCUCCAUAAGGCAUUUAUUGAUCAAGCUGUAGACAAAAUGCCUUUUGUAGAAGUGCAUCUCUGAUGAUACAUUAGAGUUUGGUUAUUUGCUGACCACU